UGCAGAGGUCUCAAGCGUUGUUCGGAUUCAUUGGGCGUAAAGGGUGCGUAGGCGGCGCCAUAAGUCAGGUGUGAAAUCUCGGGGCUCAACCUCGAAACUGCACUUGAUACUGUGGUGCUUGAGUACUGGAGAGGAGAUUGGAAUUUACGGUGUAGCAGUGAAAUGCGUAGAUAUCGUAAGGAAGACCAGUGGCGAAGGCGAAUCUCUGGACAGUUACUGACACUGAGGCACGAAGGCCAGGGGAGCAAACGGG
Molecule: ribosomal RNA, 253 nt
Filed under: uncultured bacterium
Lineage: Bacteria
Description: partial 16S ribosomal RNA
Rfam family: Bacterial small subunit ribosomal RNA
Source: RNAcentral